UGCAAGUCGAACGAACUUAACCAUUAGUUUACUAUUGGAGCGGUUAGUGGCGGACUGGUGAGUAACACGUAAGCAACCUGCCUAUCAGAGGGGAACAACAGUUAGAAAUGACUGCUAAUACCGCAUAUGCCUUAGAAUCACAUGGUUCAAAAGGGAAAGGAGCAAUCCGCUGAUAGAUGGGCUUGCGUCUGAUUAGCUAGUUGGUGGGGUAACGGCCUACCAAGGCGACGAUCAGUAGCCGAACUGAGAGGUUGAACGGCCACAUUGGGACUGAGAUACGGCCCAGACUCCUACGGGAGGCAGCAGUCGGGAAUAUUGCGCAAUGGAGGAAACUCUGACGCAGUGACGCCGCGUGCAGGAAGAAGGUUUUCGGAUUGUAAACUGCUUAGACAGGGAAGAACAAAGACAGUACCUGUAGAAUAAGCUCCGGCUAACUACGUGCCAGCAGCCGCGGUAAUACGUAGGGAGCGAGCGUUAUCCGGAUUUAUUGGGUGUAAAGGGUGCGUAGACGGGAAGUCAAGUUAGUUGUGAAAUCCCUCGGCUUAACUGAGGAACUGCAACUAAAACUGAUUUUCUUGAGUACUUGAGAGGAAAGUGGAAUUCCUAGUGUAGCGGUGAAAUGCGUAGAUAUUAGGAGGAACACCGGUGGCGAAGGCGACUUUCUGGACAGAAACUGACGUUGAGGCACGAAAGUGUGGGGAGCAAACAGGAUUAGAUACCCUGGUAGUCCACACCGUAAACGAUGGAUACUAGGUGUAGGGAAUAUUAAAAUUCUCUGUGCCGCCGCUAACGCAAUAAGUAUCCCACCUGGGGAGUACGGCCGCAAGGUUGAAACUCAAAGGAAUUGACGGGGGCCCGCACAAGCAGUGGAGUAUGUGGUUUAAUUCGACGCAACGCGAAGAACCUUACCAGGG
This 914-nucleotide ribosomal RNA is filed under the name uncultured bacterium. RNAcentral's name for it is "bacterial SSU rRNA". It matches the Rfam family "Bacterial small subunit ribosomal RNA", at positions 56 to 979 of the family's 1533-position model. The record is from RNAcentral.